Molecule: long non-coding RNA, 8204 nt
Filed under: Eucalyptus grandis
Lineage: Eukaryota; Viridiplantae; Streptophyta; Magnoliopsida; Myrtales; Myrtaceae
Description: long non-coding RNA (EGRA_LNC004087)
Source: RNAcentral
GCCGCACCGCCGCCCGCGCGACGCCGUGCGCUCCGCCGCUGCUCCGCUCAGCUCGGUCUCCCUCUCGCCCAACUCGCUGUUCCAGAGCUGCUGUCCAACCCCUGUUCCGCCUCUGUCCAGCUCGUGCAAGACCCGCCGGAGCUUCCUCCGACCACCUCCGGCCACCGUGAAGACUCGCCUUGGUCUUGUUCAGCUCCUCCGCCCAUUCCCGAGCUCAACCAGCCCCGGAUCCGCCCACCUUCGCCUCCAACCAGCAGCGAUCAGAGGACUGCAGAAAUGGGUUUGCAGCAACUGUUUGGCCCGUUUUGGCCGCCUUCCCGAGCCCGGAUGCUCGGCCCGCUUUGAGGAAAGUUGAUCCUCGCGUCGAGCCCGUCGUUUUGAGUGAGUUUUACUCACUAAUGCCUCCUUAGUGUGCUAAUUACACUUAAAGGUUGAUUAGUUUUAAUUAAAUGUAAUUAGGUUGUUAUAUUAGAAUUGAUUAGUGAUUAUUAGUUAAUUGCUUUGCAUAUUAGUUGUGUGGUUAGUGUAAUUAGAUAGUGAAUUGCAUGUAGUAUUUAUUGGGUGCUUCUUGGGAUUUUUCCCGUCCCUUAUCGGGUGUUAAUUAAGCAAAUCGGGCCUAGGUGGAAUUUUUAGGAAUUAAAUAUUAAUUUUGGAAAUUAAUUAUUUAAUGAUUUAUUUCCCGGAAAUUCAACUGGGAUGGCUAGUGACCGGGAUUUUAUGCUGAUGAUGGUGGCGCAGACCGUUUAUUUAAUUGAGCUUUAUAUUGUGCUAAAUUGAAUUUAUUGUAUUUAUUUAUUUAAUUUUCGAAAUUAAUUAUUUAAUUAUUUAUUUUCCGGAAAUUCAACUGGGAUGGCCAGUGACCGGAAUUUCGUGCUGAUUGUCGUGGUGCAGUCCGUUUAUUUAAUUGAACCAUAUUUCAUGAUGAAUUGAAUUAUUUGUGAAAGAAGGAAUUAUUCUUUAAUUGAAUAAUCUUUGGUUAUUAAUUGAAAAAUAACUGGGCUUUGGUUGAUAAUGCCAAAAGGAUCUGAGUGGGCUACAGAUAAUGGUGGGAUUUGUGGAAAGGAAAUUAUAUUAUUUUGGCUAAGGCCGACCGUGUGCCCACGCACGGGUAUUUUUAUUAGAAAGGAUAAAAAUGGUGAUUUGAUUAAAGGAUUAUUCCGGCAUACUAUAAAAGUAUGGUUGGCAGCUUCUGGUGAGAAUUUGGGGUAUACUAUAUCGGCCUUCGGGCGAUAUGUCAGCUUUGGGUGAGCAGUAUACCAGUAUACUAUAUCAUCCUACGGGCUCUGAUAUGUCAGCUUUGGGUGAGCAGUAUACUUUAUUAUCAGCUUUGGGUGAGCAUAUGGUAUACUAUAUCGGCCUUCGGGCGAUAUGUCAGCUUUGGGUGAGCAGUAUACCGGUAUACUAUAUCGACCUACGGGCGAUAUGCCAGCUUUGGGUGAGCAGUAUACCUUAUUAUCAGCUUUGGGUGAGCUAUUCUAUCUAUAUAUCAGCUUAGAGUGAGCAGUCCUGAUUUGAUAGGACUUUAUAGAUAGUAUUGAAUAUGCCGACCAAGUAUGGGUCGUGAUGGUAUAUAAUCGACUAGGUCGAUUGAUCAUUGCUUGAUCUGAUGUUGUGAAUUGAUCGAUUGAUUGGAAAUGACCAUGAGAUGGUCUGAUUGACAUGUAAUCGACUAGGUCGAUGAUCGAUGAUUCGAUCUGAGAGUGUCUUGAUGUGAUUCAUUGCCUUGGUUUGAUGUUGUGAAUUGAAUGAUUGAAGGGAGAUGAUCGUGAGUGGUCUUCCUGAUGUGAAAUCGACUAAGUCGAUUAGAUCGAUGCUUCGAUCUGUGAUGUAAUUGCUUGUGUGCCUAUUCGAUCUGUACUAAUAUGCAGGUGGAAUCUGAGGCUAAGGUACGUCCUCUGACUCAUGUUGUGCAUAGGCAGCCCUAAGGUGUAUUAGUUUACUAAUCGGGUCUUAGGAGGUAGAACUUGCUGAGACGUGGUCUCAGUGGUUAUUGAAUAACCAUUUCAGGACUUGGAUGAGGAGCCUAAGGAGCAUGAAUCUGAUGAGGAGGUCCCUGAUGAGGAACCCGAAGAGGAGUACGUGGAGGAGGACCCCGAGUACGACCUGGAUGAGGACUAAGAUCCCGUCUUGUCUUGUCAGUCUUUGUUUGCAUGUAAAAAGAUGUAGUUGUGAAUUUUCAGCAAGAAAAAUAUAUGGCCUGCUUUUCUAUCCCAUUGCUUUAUUGUCUGGGGAUUUAUAACUGCUUCCGCAUGUGCAUAUAUAAAAGAAAGGGUCGGCGAUACAUAGUCCUGGGAUAUCGCAUUUUUAAAUCGACCAAAAGUAAGGGAUGUGUGCGUGCCUGAGGGUCGGGGCGUGACAUCCCCUUUUUGUGGUAUCAGAGCAAUGGUUAGGUAUUGGAGUGAUAAGGUGCGAUGACCUAUGGGAUAGUAGUUAGAAAGGCCUUUAAAUUCAUGACUGGUGCAUGUGUUUGAUAGUUGAUUGGUAGAAUUGUUUGUCAUGUGUAAAUCGAUUGCUUCUAAUCGUUGUGGAUUCGGAAGGCAGAGUGUUGACUCUGGCCAGUUUGAGCGUAAGAGUGCCACCGCGGGUUGGUACUAGUGUAGCAGCAUUGAUUGAUCUUAAGCUCGAUAAGAUUGAUUUGAUGCAAGUGUUUCUUCGGAUCUGGAUGAGCCAGUAAGAUCAGAAUCAAGUUGUUGUUGUUGCUACCUUUGUUGAGGUCCAACCUGGAAGGAUAAUCAGGGAACAGAUUUUGAUAUCUGAGUCAAGAUUCAGUGCAAGCAGAUUGGGAAUUCGGUCAGGGUAAAGACUGAUGUUGAGAGAAUGAUAUUCUAUUCCACCCAAUAGGAGGGGUGGCAUAGGCAGGUCAGCCUUCAGAUUAAUGGAACAUGUGUUCUAUGGAAGAUGGUAUGAAUCAGUCUCGUGUAUUUUGAGGACAGGAAAUUGUGGUAAGUGUCGCCAGUACGGACAGUGAUUUAUGGUGUAUCCGCAUAAGAAGAUGGAAUCUUGACAACGGUUACUGCUGUCACUGUUGGUAGAGCAGUUCAGGAGAAGUGCGCCAUAGAACGCACUGUGGAAUUGCUGGGAUAGGUCUCUGGCACAAGAAGUAGUGCAUCCUAGCACUUGUCAAGAGGUAAAAGACUCACCAGAUAGGUGUCGAAAUGGUGGAAGAAAACCUGGAUGAAUUCAGUACCCAGGUAUGGUGAGAAGAACGGAAAUGGAACCGACCUGGCACUAGGCAGAGGAAGAAUGUUUUGGGGGAAAAUUCUAUCAGAGUAUCGUAGCAGAGUUUGGAUGAAGUUUGGGGAACUUCAGUUUAUUGAAAUAAGUGGAAGAAAGGGGAAUCACCAGUUAUUGUUCUUUGGAUUAAUAGAACCGAAGGUACGGAUGUGAAGAUUGAUGAAUGAGGAAUUCAUGCAUAUUAAUGCAUCGCUUUAAGGAACAUCAGUUUUGUGGAAAGAGAAAUGAAAAUGGUUCAUUGCAAUCAUGCAUCAACCAUUGUCAACUUAAUUGGGUGACUUGUUAUAAAGAGUGUUGAUGUCUUCAAGGAUCGACUUGAGGACAGGUUAUCUUCAGUUGAGAACCAGGAAAGAAGUUAUACUGAAGACAACACUUCGCACUUGAUUUAGCCUUGGGAGAAUAAUGUAAAGUCAGUUGAUUUGAUGAACGCUUCAGCCGCUGUCAUAGACUUGACAAGCCGAGUAUUCAAAGAAUAUCUAGAUCAAUGGUGAUCGUGUGGUGUAGUGACAUUCUAGGGUGUUCAUUAAGUGAUGAAGAUCACAAGAGCCCUUAAGAAUGGUCAUGUGAUUACAAGUUAAGGAAUCUUCAUGGACCCAUCCAAGAUUGAAUAAGUUGUUUAUGGAUCGAGACCGACAUCAAUGUCAGAGAUCAGAAGCUGUGGGGAUUGGACAGAUUACCACAUAAGGUUUGUGAAAGAAUUUUCAGCAUCAAUACCAUCGUGGGCUUGAUCUCUUAAGAAAGAAGAGAAAUUCAUCAACAUAGACAAGUACGAGGAUAGUUUCCAAAGCUUAAGUAAGAAUUGACUAUCGUACUUGUGCUAAACUUUUCAUUUAGCCCUGGAAAGCACGAAAUCUUCACUGAUGUGUCUUGCAAAGGAUGGGUAUGCAUUGAUACAACAUGAGAAGAUUGUUGUAUCAUCGUUCCGCCAGUUGAGACCAAUAAGUGGAAUACGAAGCGGUGUCGUGAACCAGAAUUUUGGCAGAACUAUAAUAGUGAUAUCGGGUAUCACCUUGGAGGAACGAAAUGAGUCAUUAAUGUGUUGAGCCGAGAGUCUUCAGUUGUGCAUAGAUGGGCUAAAGUGCAGACUUUACUUGAAAAGACUUCGAAGCUUGGUUUUCAAAUUUGAGGUAGGCUACCUUUUGAAUUUUAUAGCCACCCUCAAGAUUGAACCAAAUGUUCAAGUUAGAAUUGGUGUCUAGUUGGCAGAUAAAUAUGUUCAGAAGAUCUUAUAAGAGGAUACUGGUAAGAAAGAACAUGACUCUAAGAUUUCUGAGGAUGGAAAGUUCAGGUUCCAUGAGUGAUUGAAUACACUUAACAGUGUAGCACUCAGGGAAUAGAUCUUGUGUUGAGUGUGUAACAUCCAUGUUUCGGGCUCUGAUUUCGAUUAGAUAAAUUGGGCAUUUCAUCGACGCGAUUACAGUGUUUUUCUCUGAGUUGGCCACUCAUGAGAUAACUAGACUAGCUGGGUGAGUUAUUAAGGACCUUAAGGCAAAUAGACUUGAGAAUUCGACCAUGGAUCGACUUCUCGACCGUGCUCAUCUUUAGAGAUCAUUGCGGCACAGUAUAAAACCCGAUUUGAAAUCAAAGAUAGAUCAGUUCGAUUGAGAUGAAUGACCGAUCGUGGGUGACUCCACUAAAUUGGAAAAUUCUCAUCGACCGAUACUAAUUUGAUGUUCUAUCGUCUUGGCGCCCUGUGUCCGUAUUUGAAUCUUUGAGAUUUUCACGACAAUCGAGAGUCACCAAUGGGUCGAAUGGGUUUAUUGUGGCUCGAAGAAAAUCGACCACGGGUCAUUUGUCCUAAAAAGCUCUGAACACUAUCCAGUAGCCUAGGUCACACUAAAAGCGUGUCGGAGUGAAAUUAACCGCCAAUCUAAGUUCGAUUUCAGAAAUUGAAGAUUCUGUCUUGUCACAGAGUGGGUAUACCGAAGUGUGUGUGCAUUAGAUAAUUUGCCGGCAUGGAGUGCCGAGGAUGAAUUAUAUUUUGAAUCUAGCUCAGAGAUUAUAGAUUUGGCAAAGUUUUCAGAGGGUUCUUUAUUGAGCAAUGUAUAGCAGAUGGUACAGAAUUUCAGUGAUGAAAAGAAAGUGAAGAAGAUUUCAAGCCAAAGUCAGUACAGUAGUCAAUGAUUGCAGUUGUCAAGAUCAGUGCUAGAGUUAUAUUAGAUCUUGACCAGAGGUUCCCAGUUUCAGCAGAUCAGUCAGAUAGUUUCCUUUUAAUCAGUGCAGAGCAAAGUGUACAGGAUUUCAGUCGGUUGGGAUGAGAUCAGAAAUCAGAAAAUCGCAAGUCCGAAGUCAGCUCAGUAAUCGAUGUUUGCAGUUGUCAAAUCAGUAUCAGAGUAAAGACUGUUCAGAACUGUCAAAAAUUUUGAAUCGUUGAGGUUCAAAGGUUUAUUAGGGAAUCGAGAAAAAAGAGAUCAGAUGUGGGUGACAGAGUGUCUUAUGUGAGAAGCUCAGUUCAGUUAUUGGUUUAGAAAGACCAGAGUUUAUGUACCAAGACGAUCUCCUUAAUCAAAAUGGUCGGACAGCACCAUGAGACCGAAGGAUUAACAUGGAGUAGUGAGACUCGAUGAGACGACAAUACCCCCACAUUUUGUAUAAGGAUUGGUAAAAGUUUAAAUUUCGAGGACGAAAUUUUUAUAAGAGGGGAAGAGUUGUGACAUCCAGAUUUUCGGGUUUUAAUUCGACUGGAUAAAUAGGGCCGCUUUGGUUCAGUUGAAGCUAAGGAUUGUGGAAUUGGGAUGCAAGUGGGCUAUAUUGGUAAGGAAAAAUACCAAUUGGAAUGACGAGGUGUUAAAUGAAAUUAUGGGAGUCAAUUUAAAUUGAAUCAAGAGGGAUUAAGGUCCAAUUGGGAAGAGAACUUGGCAAAAUUCGUAUGCCACCUCUACCCCAAACUUUGGCCUACCUAAAUGCUUCUAGAAGGGGGUAGUUUUGGGCUAGAAAUGUGGGUGGAUGACAGCCAUGGUGGCCCACGUAUGGCUGACCUAAGAGAGAGAGAGAGUGAGAGAAAGAGAAAGAAAAUUUGGUUUUCUCUUCUUCCCUUCCCUCUCCCGUCGUUGUCUCUCUCUUCCUUCAUCUUCUUCUUUGGUUGUGCGACGCCAUGGAAGCCGAAGAAGCCGAAGCAGCAGCAGCAGCUUCGCCCGUCGCCGCCUCUCGCCACCGCCGUCGGACGCCCGCAAGCACCAGAGCUGCUCGCGCACCCGAGCCCGCUGCCGUGCUGCCGUCUGCACAUCUCCGCCCCCUCUCCCUCCUCUGGUUCGAACAGGACCGAAUGGCAGAACCAGAAGCAGCAACCAUCGUCGGUUGAAGGAGCUGCAAUCACGCAGGAGCUGCCUUCGCCGUCGUGCCGGAACGCUGAUGCCGUCCGCCUCCUGCCCGCCCGCUUGAACGCCGUCCACCCUCUGUCUUCCUCUCCGUUCGUUUCUCGGGGUUCCAGAUCUUGGAAGACACCGGAGUUGGGGCAGCAGCUGGCGUUGUUGGACCGGUGCUGCCGCACCGCCGCCCGCGCGACGCCGUGCGCUCCGCCGCUGCUCCGCUCAGCUCGGUCUCCCUCUCGCCCAACUCGCUGUUCCAGAGCUGCUGUCCAACCCCUGUUCCGCCUCUGUCCAGCUCGUGCAAGACCCGCCGGAGCUUCCUCCGACCACCUCCGGCCACCGUGAAGACUCGCCUUGGUCUUGUUCAGCUCCUCCGCCCAUUCCCGAGCUCAACCAGCCCCGGAUCCGCCCACCUUCGCCUCCAACCAGCAGCGAUCAGAGGACUGCAGAAAUGGGUUUGCAGCAACUGUUUGGCCCGUUUUGGCCGCCUUCCCGAGCCCGGAUGCUCGGCCCGCUUUGAGGAAAGUUGAUCCUCGCGUCGAGCCCGUCGUUUUGAGUGAGUUUUACUCACUAAUGCCUCCUUAGUGUGCUAAUUACACUUAAAGGUUGAUUAGUUUUAAUUAAAUGUAAUUAGGUUGUUAUAUUAGAAUUGAUUAGUGAUUAUUAGUUAAUUGCUUUGCAUAUUAGUUGUGUGGUUAGUGUAAUUAGAUAGUGAAUUGCAUGUAGUAUUUAUUGGGUGCUUCUUGGGAUUUUUCCCGUCCCUUAUCGGGUGUUAAUUAAGCAAAUCGGGCCUAGGUGGAAUUUUUAGGAAUUAAAUAUUAAUUUUGGAAAUUAAUUAUUUAAUGAUUUAUUUCCCGGAAAUUCAACUGGGGAACAGCGAUGGCNNNNNNNNNNNNNNNNNNNNNNNNNNNNNNNNNNNNNNNNNNNNNNNNNNNNNNNNNNNNNNNNNNNNNNNNNNNNNNNNNNNNNNNNNNNNNNNNNNNNCAGGGCGGGGAACUUUGUCGUGCAAGACCCGCCGGAGCUUCCUCCGACCACCUCCGGCCACCGUGAAGACUCGCCUUGGUCUUGUUCAGCUCCUCCGCCCAUUCCCGAGCUCAACCAGCCCCGGAUCCGCCCACCUUCGCCUCCAACCAGCAGCGAUCAGAGGACUGCAGAAAUGGGUUUGCAGCAACUGUUUGGCCCGUUUUGGCCGCCUUCCCGAGCCCGGAUGCUCGGCCCGCUUUGAGGAAAGUUGAUCCUCGCGUCGAGCCCGUCGUUUUGAGUGAGUUUUACUCACUAAUGCCUCCUUAGUGUGCUAAUUACACUUAAAGGUUGAUUAGUUUUAAUUAAAUGUAAUUAGGUUGUUAUAUUAGAAUUGAUUAGUGAUUAUUAGUUAAUUGCUUUGCAUAUUAGUUGUGUGGUUAGUGUAAUUAGAUAGUGAAUUGCAUGUAGUAUUUAUUGGGUGCUUCUUGGGAUUUUUCCCGUCCCUUAUCGGGUGUUAAUUAAGCAAAUCGGGCCUAGGUGGAAUUUUUAGGAAUUAAAUAUUAAUUUUGGAAAUUAAUUAUUUAAUGAUUUAUUUCCCGGAAAUUCAACUGGGAUGGCUAGUGACCGGGAUUUUAUGCUGAUGAUGGUGGCGCAGACCGUUUAUUUAAUUGAGCUUUAUAUUGUGCUAAAUUGAAUUUA